This 2905-nucleotide ribosomal RNA is filed under the name Escherichia coli. Its description in RNAcentral is "23S ribosomal RNA". It matches the Rfam family "Bacterial large subunit ribosomal RNA". Lineage: Bacteria; Pseudomonadati; Pseudomonadota; Gammaproteobacteria; Enterobacterales; Enterobacteriaceae. RNAcentral also lists the same sequence under 1 other name. The record is from RNAcentral.
GGUUAAGCGACUAAGCGUACACGGUGGAUGCCCUGGCAGUCAGAGGCGAUGAAGGACGUGCUAAUCUGCGAUAAGCGUCGGUAAGGUGAUAUGAACCGUUAUAACCGGCGAUUUCCGAAUGGGGAAACCCAGUGUGAUUCGUCACACUAUCAUUAACUGAAUCCAUAGGUUAAUGAGGCGAACCGGGGGAACUGAAACAUCUAAGUACCCCGAGGAAAAGAAAUCAACCGAGAUUCCCCCAGUAGCGGCGAGCGAACGGGGAGCAGCCCAGAGCCUGAAUCAGUGUGUGUGUUAGUGGAAGCGUCUGGAAAGGCGUGCGAUACAGGGUGACAGCCCCGUACACAAAAAUGCACAUGCUGUGAGCUCGAUGAGUAGGGCGGGACACGUGGUAUCCUGUCUGAAUAUGGGGGGACCAUCCUCCAAGGCUAAAUACUCCUGACUGACCGAUAGUGAACCAGUACCGUGAGGGAAAGGCGAAAAGAACCCCGGCGAGGGGAGUGAAAAAGAACCUGAAACCGUGUACGUACAAGCAGUGGGAGCACAGAGCAAUCUGUGUGACUGCGUACCUUUUGUAUAAUGGGUCAGCGACUUAUAUUCUGUAGCAAGGUUAACCGAAUAGGGGAGCCGAAGGGAAACCGAGUCUUAACUGGGCGUUAAGUUGCAGGGUAUAGACCCGAAACCCGGUGAUCUAGCCAUGGGCAGGUUGAAGGUUGGGUAACACUAACUGGAGGACCGAACCGACUAAUGUUGAAAAAUUAGCGGAUGACUUGUGGCUGGGGGUGAAAGGCCAAUCAAACCGGGAGAUAGCUGGUUCUCCCCGAAAGCUAUUUAGGUAGCGCCUCGUGAAUUCAUCUCCGGGGGUAGAGCACUGUUUCGGCAAGGGGGUCAUCCCGACUUACCAACCCGAUGCAAACUGCGAAUACCGGAGAAUGUUAUCACGGGAGACACACGGCGGGUGCUAACGUCCGUCGUGAAGAGGGAAACAACCCAGACCGCCAGCUAAGGUCCCAAAGUCAUGGUUAAGUGGGAAACGAUGUGGGAAGGCCCAGACAGCCAGGAUGUUGGCUUAGAAGCAGCCAUCAUUUAAAGAAAGCGUAAUAGCUCACUGGUCGAGUCGGCCUGCGCGGAAGAUGUAACGGGGCUAAACCAUGCACCGAAGCUGCGGCAGCGACACUAUGUGUUGUUGGGUAGGGGAGCGUUCUGUAAGCCUGCGAAGGUGUGCUGUGAGGCAUGCUGGAGGUAUCAGAAGUGCGAAUGCUGACAUAAGUAACGAUAAAGCGGGUGAAAAGCCCGCUCGCCGGAAGACCAAGGGUUCCUGUCCAACGUUAAUCGGGGCAGGGUGAGUCGACCCCUAAGGCGAGGCCGAAAGGCGUAGUCGAUGGGAAACAGGUUAAUAUUCCUGUACUUGGUGUUACUGCGAAGGGGGGACGGAGAAGGCUAUGUUGGCCGGGCGACGGUUGUCCCGGUUUAAGCGUGUAGGCUGGUUUUCCAGGCAAAUCCGGAAAAUCAAGGCUGAGGCGUGAUGACGAGGCACUACGGUGCUGAAGCAACAAAUGCCCUGCUUCCAGGAAAAGCCUCUAAGCAUCAGGUAACAUCAAAUCGUACCCCAAACCGACACAGGUGGUCAGGUAGAGAAUACCAAGGCGCUUGAGAGAACUCGGGUGAAGGAACUAGGCAAAAUGGUGCCGUAACUUCGGGAGAAGGCACGCUGAUAUGUAGGUGAAGCGACUUGCUCGUGGAGCUGAAAUCAGUCGAAGAUACCAGCUGGCUGCAACUGUUUAUUAAAAACACAGCACUGUGCAAACACGAAAGUGGACGUAUACGGUGUGACGCCUGCCCGGUGCCGGAAGGUUAAUUGAUGGGGUCAGCGCAAGCGAAGCUCUUGAUCGAAGCCCCGGUAAACGGCGGCCGUAACUAUAACGGUCCUAAGGUAGCGAAAUUCCUUGUCGGGUAAGUUCCGACCUGCACGAAUGGCGUAAUGAUGGCCAGGCUGUCUCCACCCGAGACUCAGUGAAAUUGAACUCGCUGUGAAGAUGCAGUGUACCCGCGGCAAGACGGAAAGACCCCGUGAACCUUUACUAUAGCUUGACACUGAACAUUGAGCCUUGAUGUGUAGGAUAGGUGGGAGGCUUUGAAGUGUGGACGCCAGUCUGCAUGGAGCCGACCUUGAAAUACCACCCUUUAAUGUUUGAUGUUCUAACGUUGACCCGUAAUCCGGGUUGCGGACAGUGUCUGGUGGGUAGUUUGACUGGGGCGGUCUCCUCCUAAAGAGUAACGGAGGAGCACGAAGGUUGGCUAAUCCUGGUCGGACAUCAGGAGGUUAGUGCAAUGGCAUAAGCCAGCUUGACUGCGAGCGUGACGGCGCGAGCAGGUGCGAAAGCAGGUCAUAGUGAUCCGGUGGUUCUGAAUGGAAGGGCCAUCGCUCAACGGAUAAAAGGUACUCCGGGGAUAACAGGCUGAUACCGCCCAAGAGUUCAUAUCGACGGCGGUGUUUGGCACCUCGAUGUCGGCUCAUCACAUCCUGGGGCUGAAGUAGGUCCCAAGGGUAUGGCUGUUCGCCAUUUAAAGUGGUACGCGAGCUGGGUUUAGAACGUCGUGAGACAGUUCGGUCCCUAUCUGCCGUGGGCGCUGGAGAACUGAGGGGGGCUGCUCCUAGUACGAGAGGACCGGAGUGGACGCAUCACUGGUGUUCGGGUUGUCAUGCCAAUGGCACUGCCCGGUAGCUAAAUGCGGAAGAGAUAAGUGCUGAAAGCAUCUAAGCACGAAACUUGCCCCGAGAUGAGUUCUCCCUGACUCCUUGAGAGUCCUGAAGGAACGUUGAAGACGACGACGUUGAUAGGCCGGGUGUGUAAGCGCAGCGAUGCGUUGAGCUAACCGGUACUAAUGAACCGUGAGGCUUAACCUU